AGGUAGUGGGAGGCAUAAUUCUUAGUCAAUGAGAGACAGCAGUAGCCAAUCCAGAAUACCAGGGACAGGUGCGGUGCCGGCAAACUGACUUCAGGCUGUGGAUGUACGGCUGAGAGAGAAGUAGGAAACCCUGACAGUGCUCAUGCUGGCUUUGAUCCGGCUGGAGCAGCCUGUGGUGGAAAUGGCUCUAUAUAGCCUUGGUGUCUACCAGCAUCUGGAGUGGGAGCCACAAGAGCCAUGUAGACAGGCACCUAGCACUGUGCCAGCAACGUGGGGCUGACUGGCUCUGGGGAAGAGCUGUUGGCAGUGCUGGCGACAAGGAUAGAGUGUGAGGCCUGGUGACAGGAUGGCAGCGCAGAAGCCUCAGCGCUCAGGAGCUGCGGUCCUGGCUGCUCUGAGGGUCCCUGAAAGAUAAAGGGUAAAGAGAAACAGACAGGCUGGCCAGGAAGCAACACAGUGCCUUCAGUGGUCACCAGGCUCCAAGCCCGUGAAAUGCUGCAGAGCAAGGGAGAUCCUGCAGAGGCUGCCAACUGUGAAACCAGAGGACAGACGGCUCUUGCAAAGUGGACACGUAGAUUCUAGGACAUCACAGACACAGAUCUCUGCAGAAUCACUGUAGCCAUGAAGGGACAGCUGCAAAUAAAAGUAUGCAGUUGCAAAAACCA
RNAcentral lists this long non-coding RNA (665 nucleotides) under Rattus norvegicus (Norway rat). Its description in RNAcentral is "long non-coding RNA NONRATT004815". Lineage: Eukaryota; Metazoa; Chordata; Mammalia; Rodentia; Muridae. The record is from RNAcentral.